UAGGGAAUAUUAGUAAUGGGCGAAAGCCUGAACUAGCAAUACCGCGUGUGCGAAGAAGGCCUUCGGGUUGUAAAGCACUUUUUGGGAGGACGAGGAAGGACGGUACUCCCAGAAUAAGUCUCGGCUAACUACGUGCCAGCAGCCGCGGUAACACGUAGGAGGCGAACGUUAUCCGGAUUUACUGGGCGUAAAGCGCGUGUAGGUGGUUCGGUAAGUAGGGCGUGAAAGCUCCCGGCUCAACUGGGAGAGGCCGUUCUAAACUGCCGAGCUAGAGGAUGGUAGAGGGAGGUGGAAUUCCGAGUGUAGCGGUGGAAUGCGCAGAUAUUCGGAGGAACACCAGUGGCGAAGGCGGCCUCCUGGACCAUUCCUGACACUCAGACGCGAAAGCUAGGGUAGCAAA
This 400-nucleotide ribosomal RNA is filed under the name uncultured bacterium. RNAcentral's name for it is "bacterial SSU rRNA". It matches the Rfam family "Bacterial small subunit ribosomal RNA", at positions 355 to 772 of the family's 1533-position model. The record is from RNAcentral.